Molecule: ribosomal RNA, 451 nt
Filed under: uncultured bacterium
Lineage: Bacteria
Description: bacterial SSU rRNA
Rfam family: Bacterial small subunit ribosomal RNA
Source: RNAcentral
ACUCCUACGGGAGGCAGCAGUGGGGAAUAUUGCACAAUGGGCGCAAGCCUGAUGCAGCAACGCCGUGUGAGUGAAGAAGGUUUUCGGUAUCGUAAAACUCUGUCCUAAGGGAAGAAAAAAUAGACGGUACCUUAGGAGGAAGCCCGGCCUAACUACGUGCCAGCAGCCGCGGUAAUACGUAGGGGCGAAGCGUUAUCCGGAAUCACUGGGCGUAAAGGGUGCGUAGGCGGCUUAGCAAGCCAGGGGUGAAAGGCAUUGGCUCAACCAAUGUAAGCCUUUGGAACUGUUAAGCUUGAGUGCAGGAGAGGUAAGUGGAAUUCCUAGUGUAGAGGUGAAAUUCGUAGAUAUUAGGAGGAACACCAGUGGCGAAGGCGACUUACUGGACUGUAACUGACGCUGAUGCACGAAAGCGUGGGUAGCGAACAGGAUUAGAUACCCUGGUAGGUCAGUC